RNAcentral lists this ribosomal RNA (511 nucleotides) under uncultured bacterium. Its description in RNAcentral is "bacterial SSU rRNA". It matches the Rfam family "Bacterial small subunit ribosomal RNA", at positions 9 to 517 of the family's 1533-position model. The record is from RNAcentral.
GAGUUUGAUCCUGGCUCAGAUUGAACGCUGGCGGCAGGCCUAACACAUGCAAGUCGAGCGGUAGAGAGAAGCUUGCUUCUCUUGAGAGCGGCGGACGGGUGAGUAAUGCCUAGGAAUCUGCCUGGUAGUGGGGGAUAACGCUCGGAAACGGACGCUAAUACCGCAUACGUCCUACGGGAGAAAGCAGGGGACCUUCGGGCCUUGCGCUAUCAGAUGAGCCUAGGUCGGAUUAGCUAGUUGGUGAGGUAAUGGCUCACCAAGGCGACGAUCCGUAACUGGUCUGAGAGGAUGAUCAGUCACACUGGAACUGAGACACGGUCCAGACUCCUACGGGAGGCAGCAGUGGGGAUAUUGGACAAUGGGCGAAAGCCUGAUCCAGCCAUGCCGCGUGUGUGAAGAAGGUCUUCGGAUUGUAAAGCACUUUAAGUAGGAGGAAGGGCAGUAAAUUAAUACUUUGCUGUUUGACGUUACCGACAGAAUAAGCACCGGCUAACUCUAGUGACAGCCGCCG